CAGAGUUGAAGAUCUUCAGAUCAUUAAGGUUUCUCUGUCAAAGGUAUUUUUUUCUCAAACAGAUCUGUGUUGUUUUUUGUUGUGGUUUGAGACAUCAUGAGUAGUGAAUUGAAGAUCAACUUUGAGAAGUUUGAUAGGAAGAAAAACUUCUCGAUGUGGAGGACAAAAGUUAAAGAUCUGUUGGUUCAGCAAGAGCUAGAUCUAACUUUAGAGGAAAAGUCAGAGGGGAUGAC
This 233-nucleotide long non-coding RNA is filed under the name Elaeis guineensis (African oil palm). Its description in RNAcentral is "long non-coding RNA (EGUI_LNC004867)". The record is from RNAcentral. Lineage: Eukaryota; Viridiplantae; Streptophyta; Magnoliopsida; Arecales; Arecaceae.